This 170-nucleotide ribosomal RNA is filed under the name Dasyphyllum colombianum. Its description in RNAcentral is "5.8S ribosomal RNA". It matches the Rfam family "5.8S ribosomal RNA". Rfam says of the family: 5.8S ribosomal RNA (5.8S rRNA) is a component of the large subunit of the eukaryotic ribosome. Lineage: Eukaryota; Viridiplantae; Streptophyta; Magnoliopsida; Asterales; Asteraceae. The record is from RNAcentral.
CAAACGACUCUCGGCAACGGAUAUCUCGGCUCACGCAUCGAUGAAGAACGUAGCAAAAUGCGAUACUUGGUGUGAAUUGCAGAAUCCCGUGAACCAUCGAGUUUUUGAACGCAAGUUGCGCCCGAAGCCAUCCGGCAGAGGGCACGCCUGCCUGGGCGUCACGCAUCGCG